GAGUUUGAUCCUGGCUCAGGAUGAACGCUGGCGGCAUGCCUAACACAUGCAAGUUGAACGAGAAGUUCUGGAGGGAGUCUUCGGACGAACGAAGGAAUGGAAAGUAGCGAACGGGUGAGUAACGCGUGGGCAACCAACCUUACACAGGGGGAUAACGCAGAGAAAUUUGCGCUAAUACCGCAUAAGCGCACAGUACCGCAUGGUACGGUGUGAAAAACUCCGGUGGUGUAAGACGGGCCCGCGUCUGAUUAGUUAGUUGGUGAGGUAAAAGCUCACCAAGGCGACGAUCAGUAGCCGACCUGAGAGGGUGAUCGGCCACAUUGGGACUGAGACACGGCCCAAACUCCUACGGGAGGCAGCAGUGGGGGAUAUUGCACAAUGGAGGAAACUCUGAUGCAGCAAUGCCGCGUGAAGGAAGACGGUUUUCGGAUUGUAAACUUCUAUCAGCAGGGAAGAAAAU
RNAcentral lists this ribosomal RNA (460 nucleotides) under Lachnospiraceae bacterium canine oral taxon 073. RNAcentral describes it as "bacterial SSU rRNA". It matches the Rfam family "Bacterial small subunit ribosomal RNA", at positions 9 to 452 of the family's 1533-position model. The record is from RNAcentral. Lineage: Bacteria; Bacillati; Bacillota; Clostridia; Lachnospirales; Lachnospiraceae.